This 113-nucleotide transfer RNA is filed under the name Serratia liquefaciens. RNAcentral's name for it is "tRNA-Lys". It matches the Rfam family "tRNA". From Rfam's summary of the family: Transfer RNA (tRNA) molecules are approximately 80 nucleotides in length. Their secondary structure includes four short double-helical elements and three loops (D, anti-codon, and T loops). Further hydrogen bonds mediate the characteristic L-shaped molecular structure. tRNAs have two regions of fundamental functional importance: the anti-codon, which is responsible for specific mRNA codon recognition, and the 3' end, to which the tRNAs corresponding amino acid is attached (by aminoacyl-tRNA synthetases). tRNAs cope with the degeneracy of the genetic code in two manners: having more than one tRNA (with a specific anti-codon) for a particular amino acid; and 'wobble' base-pairing, i.e. permitting non-standard base-pairing at the 3rd anti-codon position. Lineage: Bacteria; Pseudomonadati; Pseudomonadota; Gammaproteobacteria; Enterobacterales; Yersiniaceae. The record is from RNAcentral.
GGGGCGAUUAGCUCAGUUGGUAGAGCAUCUCCUUUACACGGAGGGGGUCGGCGGUUCGAGGCAGUUGACUUUUAAUCAAUUGGUCGCAGGUUCGAAUCCUGCACGACCCACCA